CCAGACACUAAGCUUUGGAGACAAAGAAAAUAGGAAGGAACAUGGAAAGUCAAAUCUUGUGGCCAUCUAGCACGGAAAAAUUCAAGUACCUGUUCCCAAAGAAGAAUCGAUCAAGGGAUUAACUCUAAAAUAUCCUGGUUAGUUAAAUUAUACCCCCCUUCAUCAUCCCAUAAAAUCAUUCCUUUCUUUUUUUUUCUUUUUUAUAGUGAAAUAUUCGAAAUGCAGAAAAUCUGGUGUCCAGUAGAAAACAACUGCAGCUAGAGGGCAAAGUGGAUAGAAGGCUGGACUUGGAGUCAAGGAAAUCUGAGUUCUAAUCCAUCCUCAGUUCUGGUGAAAAUGUGAUCCCAGCAUCUAUCAUCUAGAGUACCUCCUGAGUGGAAAAGGGAUUAAGCUUUGAACUAAUUGGUGAUGUGUAUAGCUAAACAGAUGACCAGCCCUGGAGCAGAGAAGCCACUUUCCCCAGCAUGUUGGCAGAGAUCUGAAAAAACAGAGCAAAAGGAAUGGAAUCUCUCAUGCAAUCAUUUUCCUGCCUUGGGCUUAUAUUGGAGCAACCUCCUUUUACAAGCUUCAAUGACUUUGGUUCACUGGGUCUUGGUUUUGAGGAUUGUAUGGUCAUUCUCCUUUGUAGUAUUUUUUCCUACCUGGCUGCAGUUUGGUGGUAUUCUAACAAAAAUGGAGUAUGCCAGUUGCCUCUUACAAAUUAGAGUCAACAUUGAUGAAAGAAAGAAGCCUUCUAAAGGAAAUGAUGGCUGGAAUGAAUAUGGGGAAGUAUGGAAAGACAUAUAAUCUGAUGCAAAGUGAAAUAAACUGAACCAGAAAAAGUCUAUACGCA
This 832-nucleotide long non-coding RNA is filed under the name Monodelphis domestica (gray short-tailed opossum). Its description in RNAcentral is "lncRNA (ENSMODG00000031522.2)". The record is from RNAcentral. Lineage: Eukaryota; Metazoa; Chordata; Mammalia; Didelphimorphia; Didelphidae.